This 524-nucleotide ribosomal RNA is filed under the name uncultured bacterium. Its description in RNAcentral is "partial 16S ribosomal RNA". It matches the Rfam family "Bacterial small subunit ribosomal RNA", at positions 28 to 523 of the family's 1533-position model. The record is from RNAcentral.
GACGAACGCUGGCGGCGUGCCUAAUACAUGCAAGUCGAGCGCAGGAAACUGACGGAACUCUUCGGAGGGAAGGCAGUGGAAUGAGCGGCGGACGGGUGAGUAACACGUAAGGAACCUGCCUCAAGGAUUGGGAUAACUCCGAGAAAUCGGAGCUAAUGCCGGAUAGUUCAACGGACCGCAUGGUCCGCUGAUGAAAGGCGCUACGGCGUCCCCUUGAGAUGGCCUUGCGGUGCAUUAGCUAGUUGGUGGGGUAACGGCCCACCAAGGCGACGAUGCAUAGCCGACCUGAGAGGGUGAUCGGCCACACUGGGACUGAGACACGGCCCAGACUCCUACGGGAGGCAGCAGUAGGGAAUCUUCCACAAUGGACGAAAGUCUGAUGGAGCAACGCCGCGUGAGUGAUGAAGGUUUUCGGAUCGUAAAACUCUGUUGUAAGGGAAGAACACGUACGAGAGGAAAUGCUCGUACCUUGACGGUACCUUACGAGAAAGCCACGGCUAACUACGUGCCAGCCGCCGCGGUAA